GUGCAAUACUCAGAGACAUGGCCAAGGUAAGAAAGGCUGAAAGACGACCACCACUGAACAAGACACACAAGCUGAAACGUCAAGACUGGGCCAAGAAAUAUCUCAAGACUGAUUUUUCUAAGGUUUUAUGGACCGAUGAAAUGAGAGGGAGUCUUGAUGGGCCAGAUGGAUGGGCCCGUGGCUGGAUUGGUAAAGGGCAGAGAGCUCCAGUCCGACUCAGACGCCAGCAAGGUGGAGGUGGAGUACUG
Molecule: non-coding RNA, 248 nt
Organism: Pelobates cultripes (western spadefoot toad)
Lineage: Eukaryota; Metazoa; Chordata; Amphibia; Anura; Pelobatidae
Source: the annotation of a GenBank genome assembly